AGUGAACGCUGGCGGUAGGCCUAACACAUGCAAGUCGAACGGCAGCACAGUAAGAGCUUGCUCUUACGGGUGGCGAGUGGCGGACGGGUGAGGAAUACAUCGGAAUCUACUUUUUCGUGGGGGAUAACGUAGGGAAACUUACGCUAAUACCGCAUACGACCUACGGGUGAAAGCAGGGGAUCUUCGGACCUUGCGCGAUUGAAUGAGCCGAUGUCGGAUUAGCUAGUUGGCGGGGUAAAGGCCCACCAAGGCGACGAUCCGUAGCUGGUCUGAGAGGAUGAUCAGCCACACUGGAACUGAGACACGGUCCAGACUCCUACGGGAGGCAGCAGUGGGGAAUAUUGGACAAUUGGCGGAAGCCUGAUCCAGCCAUACCGCGUGGGUGAAGAAGGCCUUCGGGUUUUAAAGCCCUUUUGUUGGGAAAGAAAAGCAGCAGGUUAAUACCCCGCUGUUCUGACGGUACCCAAAGAAUAAGCACCGGCUAACUUCGUG
This 492-nucleotide ribosomal RNA is filed under the name uncultured bacterium. Its description in RNAcentral is "partial 16S ribosomal RNA". It matches the Rfam family "Bacterial small subunit ribosomal RNA", at positions 29 to 507 of the family's 1533-position model. The record is from RNAcentral.